RNAcentral lists this ribosomal RNA (882 nucleotides) under uncultured Bacteroidota bacterium. Its description in RNAcentral is "bacterial SSU rRNA". It matches the Rfam family "Bacterial small subunit ribosomal RNA", at positions 1 to 877 of the family's 1533-position model. Lineage: Bacteria; Pseudomonadati; Bacteroidota. The record is from RNAcentral.
GCCCUUAGAGUUUGAUCCUGGCUCAGGAUGAACGCUAGCUACAGGCUUAACACAUGCAAGUCGAGGGGCAGCAUGGUCUUAGCUUGCUAAGGCCGAUGGCGACCGGCGCACGGGUGAGUAACACGUAUCCAACCUGCCGUCUACUCUUGGACAGCCUUCUGAAAGGAAGAUUAAUACAAGAUGGCAUCAUGAGUCCGCAUGUUCACAUGAUUAAAGGUAUUCCGGUAGACGAUGGGGAUGCGUUCCAUUAGAUAGUAGGCGGGGUAACGGCCCACCUAGUCUUCGAUGGAUAGGGGUUCUGAGAGGAAGGUCCCCCACAUUGGAACUGAGACACGGUCCAAACUCCUACGGGAGGCAGCAGUGAGGAAUAUUGGUCAAUGGGCGAGAGCCUGAACCAGCCAAGUAGCGUGAAGGAUGACUGCCCUAUGGGUUGUAAACUUCUUUUAUAAAGGAAUAAAGUCGGGUAUGGAUACCCGUUUGCAUGUACUUUAUGAAUAAGGAUCGGCUAACUCCGUGCCAGCAGCCGCGGUAAUACGGAGGAUCCGAGCGUUAUCCGGAUUUAUUGGGUUUAAAGGGAGCGUAGAUGGAUGUUUAAGUCAGUUGUGAAAGUUUGCGGCUCAACCGUAAAAUUGCAGUUGAUACUGGAUAUCUUGAGUGCAGUUGAGGCAGGCGGAAUUCGUGGUGUAGCGGUGAAAUGCUUAGAUAUCACGAAGAACUCCGAUUGCGAAGGCAGCCUGCUAAGCUGCAACUGACAUUGAGGCUCGAAAGUGUGGGUAUCAAACAGGAUUAGAUACCCUGGUAGUCCACACGGUAAACGAUGAAUACUCGCUGUUUGCGAUAUACUGCAAGCGGCCAAGCGAAAGCGUUAAGUAUCCACCUGGA